This 465-nucleotide small RNA is filed under the name Histoplasma ohiense. RNAcentral describes it as "hypothetical lncRNA". The record is from RNAcentral. Lineage: Eukaryota; Fungi; Ascomycota; Eurotiomycetes; Onygenales; Ajellomycetaceae.
GCCAGGCUGAAGGAACACUGCGAGAAAUAAAGAAAGAAAGUGGGAUGGGGGUCACAGGAUAGAAUAACGCUGAAAAUUUGAUCCGCAGCCGGUUAGACGACGUGGGACCAGACAAGACAAGCCAAACUGGAGGGGUGUGCCACGAAAAUGAAGGGUAGCAAUUUUUGAUCCAAGACUGCAGCUGCCAAUAGAAAACGGUUCGACGAUAGGCUCACACUCUUUGGAGGGUUCCACCACCAAAGAGGGCCCACGUAGCGGCGAGCAAUAGAAAGGAAGAUAUAAAAUGGCGAUUAUUAUAUCGAUGUUGCACGCCAACAAGAACGACUUGAGUUGUUGGAAGAGGUGUGCAGAAAGGUUAAUUAGGGUUACAGGAAGCAACUAACUCGUUAUUGCCAAUCGAGCUUGAAUACGGAGGUGGAGAAAGUUACUGCGUAAGUCCUUGCAACACACUAGAAAUAAAUAUAA